Molecule: non-coding RNA, 869 nt
Filed under: Trichomonas vaginalis G3
Lineage: Eukaryota; Parabasalia; Trichomonadida; Trichomonadidae
Description: Eukaryotic large subunit ribosomal RNA
Rfam family: Eukaryotic large subunit ribosomal RNA
Source: Rfam by way of RNAcentral
ACGGUCACUAGAUAUCCAGCGGGGUAAAGAAGACCCUGUAGAGCUUCACUUUGGUCUAGUCUUGUAUAGUUCCUGCGGGGGUGUAGACUAGGUGGGAGAGCAAUUCCGAUUCUGAAAAACCACUACCCUGUUUGGAAUUAUGCUUACCUAUCACAAGGAAUAGGACUAGAUAGAAAGUUUGGCUGGGGCGGCACACCUUCGAAAGAGCAGCGAAGGUGUCCUAAGUUGAGCUCAGUGAGGACAGAAAUCUCACGUUGAGGAUAAGGCCAAAAGCUCAAUUUACUGUGCCUUUUUGUACUAGGAUCAGUUACGAAAGUAAGGCCUAACGAUCCCUAAAUAGCCUCAGGUGCGUGAGGAUUGGGGUGACAGACAAGUUACCUCCGGGACAACUGGCUUGUGGCUGCUAAGAGAUCAAAUCAACGCAGCUUUUUGAUUCUUCGAUGUCGGCUCUUCCUAUCCUAGUGAUGUACAAGUUGCUAAGGGUCGGAUUGUUCACCCGUAUUAGGGAUCGUGAGCUGGGUUUAGACCGUCGUGAGCCAGGUUUGUUUUAUCCUACUGGAUAUAGCAUCAUGAUAGUAGAUUGAUUUAGUACGAGAGGAACUGUUGAUUAUGGCCUCUGGUUAGCGAUUAUCGGAAACGGUAUGUCGCGCAGCUACGCCGUCUGGGAUAAUGGCUGAAAGCCUCUUAAGCCAGAAGCCCAUCUAGAAAGUGAUGCACGUGAUGUUGGACCGAUACGAAUAAUCAUACUCAAAAGGUCCGCUUCAUAGGUAACCCAAUGUAGAAGACAUUGUGUGAACGAAGGUACUGUAAGCAGUGGAGUGGCAUUACGUCCACGACCUGUUGAGGUUCAGCUUCGCUUCUAGGUUUCC